GAUGAAGAACGUAGCGAAAUGCGAUAAGUAAUGCGAAUUGCAGAUCUCCGUGAGUCAUUGAAUCUUUGAACGCACAUUGCGCCCUCGGGUAUUCCCGAGGGCAUGCCUGUCCGAGCGUCAUUAUCCAACCAUCAAGCUCGGCUUGCGGUUGAGCCCCGCACCGUCCCCGGGACGGUGGGCUCGAAACAUGUUGGGCGCCCGUGAGGUUGUCGGUGCAGCGAGCUCUCGAGCACGUGCCGGGCAACCGCUCUGGGCGUCGGCCAGCCCCCCCCAUUUUCUCAGGUUGACCUCGGAUCAGGUAGGAAUACCCGCUGAACUUAAGCAUAUCAAUAAGCGGAGGA
RNAcentral lists this unclassified non-coding RNA (341 nucleotides) under soil metagenome. Its description in RNAcentral is "partial contains 5.8S ribosomal RNA, internal transcribed spacer 2, and large subunit ribosomal RNA". The stretch from base 1 to 120 matches the Rfam family "5.8S ribosomal RNA", at positions 35 to 154 of the family's 154-position model. The record is from RNAcentral.